GCUCGGGUAGCAAAGCAGCCAUGCGCUCGCCUGCAGAGCGAGUCACGAGGGUGCGAAUCCCUCCCCGAGCU
RNAcentral lists this transfer RNA (71 nucleotides) under archaeon. RNAcentral describes it as "tRNA-Cys". It matches the Rfam family "tRNA". Rfam says of the family: Transfer RNA (tRNA) molecules are approximately 80 nucleotides in length. The record is from RNAcentral.